UUGGAGGGCAAGUCUGGUGCCCAGCAGCCGCGGUAAUUCCAGCUCCAAUAGCGUAUAUUAAAGUUGUUGCAGUUAAAAAGCUCGUAGUUGAAUUUCGGGAUUGACGUGAUGGUCAUGCCUUAAGGGGUAUGAACUGUUACAGUUGAUUUCUCACCUUCUGGAGAAACUUGAUGUCCUUUAUUGGGUGUCUUGCGGAUCCAGGACCUUUACCUUGAAAAAAUUAGAGUGUUUAAAGCAGGCAUUUUUGCUCGAAUACAUUAGCAUGGAAUAAUAGAAUAGGACGGCAUGGUUCUAUUUUGUUGGUUUCUAGGGUCACCGUAAUGAUUAAUAGGGAUAGUUGGGGGCAUUAGUAUUCAAUUGUCAGAGGUGAAAUUCUUGGAUUUAUUGAAGACUAACUACUGCGAAAGCAUUUGCCAAGGAUGUUUUCAUUAAUCAAGAACGAAAGUUAGGGGAUCGAAGACGAUCAGAUACCGUCGUAGUCUUAACCAUAAACUAUGCCGACUAGGAAUCAGACGAUGUUAAUUUUUUAAUGACUCGUUUGGCGCCUUACGGGAAACCAAAGUGUUUGGGUUC
RNAcentral lists this ribosomal RNA (573 nucleotides) under uncultured Glomeromycotina. RNAcentral's name for it is "SSU rRNA". It matches the Rfam family "Eukaryotic small subunit ribosomal RNA", at positions 548 to 1114 of the family's 1831-position model. Lineage: Eukaryota; Fungi; Glomeromycota. The record is from RNAcentral.